RNAcentral lists this long non-coding RNA (512 nucleotides) under Rattus norvegicus (Norway rat). RNAcentral describes it as "long non-coding RNA NONRATT027791". The record is from RNAcentral. Lineage: Eukaryota; Metazoa; Chordata; Mammalia; Rodentia; Muridae.
ACUAUUGAAUGCUGGCCACCAGAUAGCAAAUACCCUCUUCCUGUGUUCUCUACAUUUGUGUUAACUGGAGCCUCAGCUGAAAAGGUUUAUGGUGCUGCUAUUCAAUUUUAUGAACCAUACUCCGAGGAGAACCUUACAGAAAAACAGAGACUUCUUUUGGGUUUAACGUCUCUGGUAGAUGGAAAGUCUGAUGGUUCUAGAACGAUUCACACUAACAAAUGCAUUUGUCUGCUUUCCCACUGGCCUUUUUUUGAUGCAUUCAGAAAAUUUCUGACUUUUCUGUAUCGUUAUUCCAUCUCUGGACCUCAUGCCCUUCCAAUUGAGAAGUAAGUUAUAAAUUCCAAGGUUUAAAUUUUACACUCCAUGAUGGGCAUGGUGGUACAUCUCUGUGAGUCGGAGGCAGGCCUGGUCAACAUAGUGAGUUCCAGGACGACCAGAGCCAUAUAGAGAGAUCAUAUUUUAAAAAAACAUGUCAGCCCUUUCCUGAUUAAAUAUAAAAUUGAUUCAAUUUU